GUGCCACGCGGUAAUACGUAGGGCGCAAGCGUUAUCCGGAAUUAUUGGGCGUAAAGAGCUUGUAGGCGGUUUGUCGCGUCUGCUGUGAAAAUCCGGGGCUCAACCCCGGACUUGCAGUGGGUACGGGCAGGCUAGAGUGUGGUAGGGGAGACUGGAAUUCCUGGUGUAGCGGUGGAAUGCGCAGAUAUCAGGAGGAACACCGAUGGCGAAGGCAGGUCUCUGGGCCGAUACUGACACUGAGGAGCGAAAGGCGUGG
Molecule: ribosomal RNA, 256 nt
Filed under: uncultured bacterium
Lineage: Bacteria
Description: partial 16S ribosomal RNA
Rfam family: Bacterial small subunit ribosomal RNA
Source: RNAcentral